Molecule: long non-coding RNA, 994 nt
Filed under: Cottoperca gobio
Lineage: Eukaryota; Metazoa; Chordata; Actinopteri; Perciformes; Bovichtidae
Description: lncRNA (ENSCGOG00000016151.1)
Source: RNAcentral
CCGGAAGAGGCGUUGUUUAUUGUGGUUAACGUGACAUUUCUGAUCAACAUGUCUCCUUUGCAGACUCUUCUCUGUCAUUAGACGCGUCUGGACUUUUCGUGAAACUACUGCGUUUUGUUAGCGGCACGCUAGCGGGCCGUUGUCAGCCAGGACCCAGAAAAGCAGCAUCAUCAUCAAUGGUGUGUCUACAUCCCGGAGCCGUCACAUCUUCCUGUGUCCGCUCAAUGAACAAUCUCCUCAGCUCUCAUCGCAGCUGCACAUGUAUGGCGUUUGCGAGGCUUGGAGGGGAGUUUUGCCAAGCCCAGCACCUGCUGCUUAUUGUGGACAAGUGAACAGGAGACAUCAGCUAGGCGCAAACACUGCCAUUGACUUGCACAGGUCCUUACUGCCAUCCUGUUGAACCCAUAUGAAAACAAGCCAACCUUCAGCCUGUCACCUGUCCUGGGGAGUAGGAGAGGCUUUGGUUCUAUCCCGGGAGUUUCCUCACAGAUCUUCUCAUUUCCUGCGUUUCCUUUCUUCUACUCUGAUUCGUACAAGUCUUCUCUGAAUGGGCUAGAAGGGUCUUCAUAUUGUUUGGCUGGACUUUGAGUGUCUUCUCUCCAUUCUUUUUGAUUGCAAUCUACUGGAGUUACAUUUUUGUUUUUAACAAAGCCAAUUCUAGUUUUUCCUUCAUUGCCAAGAAAAGGUUAGAACCCCCCCCCAUUUUUAUCCCAGGAAAUUUGUCAUUAUCUUAUUUUUUUUUCAGACAACAAAGGAAUAUAAUAUUUACAGACUUUACCCAUAAAUCAUACGGUUGCGUUAGUUUGUGAAAUUAAUUGCAAAGUGGUUUUGCAUUUUUGUGCCGUAUGCAUUUUCUGUUUUAUUGAAAACCUUUUCUUUUUUCUUCUUUAGUUUUAAACAUCAGAACACUUUCGAUUUGAUUCCUUUGAAGAUCCUGCCUGUUACUCCACUAUUUGAAGCACAGAACUUUUCUGAUCUAUUUUUCUGUAUUAAU